CUCCUACGGGACGCAGCAGCCGCGGUAAUACGUAGGUCCCGAGCGUUGUCCGGAUUUAUUGGGCGUAAAGCGAGCGCAGGUGGUUUAUUAAGUCUGGUGUAAAAGGCAGUGGCUCAACCAUUGUAUGCAUUGGAAACUGGUAGACUUGAGUGCAGGAGAGGAGAGUGGAAUUCCAUGUGUAGCGGUGAAAUGCGUAGAUAUAUGGAGGAACACCGGUGGCGAAAGCGGCUCUCUGGCCUGUAACUGACACUGAGGCUCGAAAGCGUGGGCAGCAAACAGGAUUAGAUACCCGGGUAGUCCGAGAU
RNAcentral lists this ribosomal RNA (305 nucleotides) under uncultured bacterium. RNAcentral's name for it is "bacterial SSU rRNA". It matches the Rfam family "Bacterial small subunit ribosomal RNA", at positions 498 to 801 of the family's 1533-position model. The record is from RNAcentral.